GUCCACGCCCUAAACGAUGUCAAUUAGCUGUUGGGCAACUUGAUUGCUUAGUAGCGUAGCUAACGCGUGAAAUUGACCGCCUGGGGAGUACGGUCGCAAGAUUAAAACUCAAAGGAAUUGACGGGGACCCGCACAAGCGGUGGAUGAUGUGGAUUAAUUCGAUGCAACGCGAAGAACCUUACCUGGUCUUGACAUGUACGGAAUCUUUCAGAGACGGAAGAGUGCCUUCGGGAACCGUAACACAGGUGCUGCAUGGCUGUCGUCAGCUCGUGUCGUGAGAUGUUGGGUUAAGUCCCGCAACGAGCGCAACCCUUGUCAUUAGUUGCCAUCAUUAAGUUGGGCACUCUAAUGAGACUGCCGGUGACAAACCGGAGGAAGGUGGG
This 383-nucleotide ribosomal RNA is filed under the name Kingella kingae. Its description in RNAcentral is "bacterial SSU rRNA". It matches the Rfam family "Bacterial small subunit ribosomal RNA", at positions 793 to 1177 of the family's 1533-position model. Lineage: Bacteria; Pseudomonadati; Pseudomonadota; Betaproteobacteria; Neisseriales; Neisseriaceae. The record is from RNAcentral.